This 304-nucleotide small nuclear RNA is filed under the name Octodon degus (degu). RNAcentral describes it as "7SK RNA (ENSODEG00000022973.1)". It matches the Rfam family "7SK RNA". Rfam says of the family: 7SK was discovered as an abundant small nuclear RNA in the mid-70s but a possible function has only recently been suggested. Two independent studies have found that 7SK RNA binds the CDK9/cyclin T complex (known as elongation factor P-TEFb). The record is from RNAcentral. Lineage: Eukaryota; Metazoa; Chordata; Mammalia; Rodentia; Octodontidae.
GGAUGUGAGGGGGAUGUGGCUGUGACAUGUCACCCACUUGAUCACCACAGUUGAUUUGGUUGAUCUGGUUGGCUAGGCAGGUGUUUUCUUCCUCCCUUGUGGCUCCUUAUGUGUCUGUCCUGAAGCUGUGUACUUGACCCAAGAAGAUGACCACCCUGGAUAGAAGAGGGCUGUUUCCUUGGUCAAAGGAAUAGGAGUAGCUAUGCUCCCCUGCUAGAACUUCCAAACAAGCUCUCAAAUAUAGGCCUAGAUUUUUAAAAAAUCACCCACAAAAUUCUUAAUCAGUUGCCAAAUACCAUCCUUU